GGUAGUGUAGUUAACACCUGCAUUAUUUGACGUUACCUACAGAAGAAGCACCGGCUAACUCCGUGCCAGCAGCCGCGGUAAUACGGAGGGUGCGAGCGUUAAUCGGAAUUACUGGGCGUAAAAGCGCAUGCAGGCGGCUUGUUAAGUCAGAUGUGAAAAGCCCGGGCUUAAACCUCGGAAAAUUGCAUUUGAAAAACUGGCAGGCUAGAGUCUUGUAGAGGGGGUAGGAAUUUCAGGUGUAGCGGUGAAAAUGCGUAGAGAUCUGAAGGAAUACCAGUGGCGAAGGCGGCCCCUCGGACAAAGACUGACGCUCAGAUGCGAAAGCGUGGGGAGCAAACAGGAUUAGAUACCCUGGUAG
This 358-nucleotide ribosomal RNA is filed under the name uncultured bacterium. RNAcentral's name for it is "bacterial SSU rRNA". It matches the Rfam family "Bacterial small subunit ribosomal RNA", at positions 443 to 793 of the family's 1533-position model. The record is from RNAcentral.